UGUCCUGUGACUAAAUUUUUAUGAGAAACAAAUUUUUAUAUGAAGCGGUUAACAAGGAUUUUUUCACAUUAAAUCGGAAGGGAGACUCUCGGCUGGAACGUCGAGCAAGUAAGACGUGUUUAUAAACGCUCCGGCCUCGUACAAAUUCUCGAAACUAAUGGUCUCCUAAUAUCCAUAAUUUAUCUACAAUAAAGGGUAUUGGCUCCAACAGAACGGCCGGAUUUCUCUCAAGUUACUUCUGACUACAGGGGUAAUAGACUUAAACAACACGAUCAAUUCACCAAGACCCAGCUACUCCCAAAUUAUCGAAGAAUCAAGUCUGCCGAAAAAAGAGCAUUCAAUCGUCCUUGAUGCCAUUCCUGGAAUUAGAGUCAACGAGUACCUUUUAGCACUAAGUAAAUUUUGGAAAGAGAGUAAGAUCAAGUCAAUAAGAUGCCCCCAAAAUUGCCCAUACACUACGACAAUGAAGUGUUUUAUUUGUCGCAAGCCGGGAUGACACAGAGCCAGAGAGUGUCCCACGGUUACAAGUUCUGCUGAAGCAGUGGGCGAAGACGAGGAAGACAUCGACUAUUACGAAAUUACCGAUAUAAUGUUGAUCGAUUCCUCACAUGAGAACAAUCUAGGUUUUGACAAUCAAUCACAAUACGAUGUCAUCCCAGGCGAUAAGACCCCACCAUCGAUCAUUCGUGCGAAGAUACAAUCGCAGCCUCAUCAAUGUCAACAAAUAAUCUAGGAGAGAGAAACAUGCGACGGCCUCUGAACGAGACACAUCACUAGCACAGCCCCGUCCCGUAAAAUCCUCGCCGGAGAGACGCCAAUCGCCGAAAACAAGUUCUCUAGCUGCAGAGGCACUAGGGAGGAGAUAACUCCACCUUCAGCGGACAAGCUGAAGGAGAUCAUCGAUGUUCAGAUAUCACCAUUCGAGAGUACAUAUAAUAGAGAUGAGUCUAGUUUCCCCAUAACAUACGAUAAUAUUAAAGUUUUCUAUUCAGAAUAUAUGGACAGCCUGACACUAGACCUAUUAGUGAAGUAAUAACGGACAGAACUCUCAAAAGUCAGAUUGCCAGAAUUUCCAAAAAACUUGACACAGUGUAUCCCAUAUCUCUGUCGCUGAGUAAUAUUAGUAAUAUCUAAGCAAACAGCAAUCAAUAUUAAAAUCAAUGGCAAUUCCGGACAACAAUUUCUCGAAUAAAUUGCCUAUUCUAUACUGCAAUUGUUGCAGCCUUCAGCUGAGAAUGAAUGACUUACUUGCUAUCUCUCAUCAAUUAGGUGUUAUCGUUUGCGUGGAAAAACAUAUACAAAUAAAUUCGAAAUUCCAGCCCCGAAUUCCGGGAUUUGAGAUUAUUACAGAGGACAGAAGACGCUCAGCGGGAGGUGAUGUGUUGAUUCCCAUUAGAAAUAAUAUUGCUUACCAGCAAAUAGAAACUCAGAGGGUUUCUGAAGAUGUCAUUGAAACUAUAGGAAUAAAUAUCACCAACGGCAAACCUACGUUAAGCCUCGUGGCAAUGUAUAAACCCCCAGAUAGUAUCGUAUCUCACAAAAUAUGGCAUCAAAUUUUUUCAAUUAAAGACUUAGUAAAUAAUGUAAUCAUCAUGGAGGCUUUUAAUACCUGGAAGACGGCCUGGAAUUAUCGUUUCACCUCUACCAGCGGUAGUCGACUUUUUGAUGUGAUUAACAGUGUCAGUGAUUGCAUCAUGCAUAAUAGAGAUACAAUUACGAGAGUGAGCCAUCAGAGUGAAUCUAACAUAGAUUUAAUGUUCACCUCAGUGUCGAUAUCUGACAAAGUAACGGUUCAGGUAGAACAGGAAACCGGGCUUUUUCACCAUUUCCCACUUAUCGUUGAAUUGAACAUAGGAAAAAAUAUUUUACACCAAAAAUCUCAUAAAUUAAAUUCUGAGAAGACAAACUGGGAAUAACUCGCUGAGAAGCUUAAAUCCACGCACCAGUACUUUCUGGAAGUCCAAUUCGAAUCUCUAUCUGCGAAUGGCAAAUACAAUUUUUUUAUUAAUCAUCUCUCGCAGACAAUUGGAAUGUUCACCCUGGAAAGAUCAUCUGCAAUACGAAUCCAAAAUACCAGAAAUCCUUGAUAUUCUCAGUUCACCUUGGUGUUCGACGAAUCCGGGGGAUGUUCCCGAAUGCCAAGAAAAUUAAAUUCUGAACUGAACGUUCAACUUUGUUGAGUUUAAUCAGGACUUGAGAAGGCGGAUAAAUAAAUCUUUGCCUGGCCUGCAUGGCAUCAAUUACGGCGUUAUAAAAAGACUUCCGGUUCAAUAUCAUUGAAUCUUAGUUGAUAUUUUUAAUCAUAUGUACACCAAUGCUGAUUUCCCCAAAAGCUCCAACUCUUAAUAUAUUAAUUUCAUACCGAAACCUAAUGGCCUUAACCACAGACCUAUUGUUCUCUCGUCGUGCCUAUGCAAGCUGUUCGAAACUAUGGUUAAAAAUCGGUUUGAUUGAUGGAUAGAAAGUAAUAAUUUGCUCCCUAACAGCCAAAGCGGCUUUAGAAAUGACAGAUCGACCUAUAACAACCUAAGUAAUAUAGUCUUACUAGCGGACCCCGCCACGCGUGGCUGUGGCUAAGGUUUUUGUUAUAUUACACUGUACUGAACUAUUUAGGAGGAACGGUAGGAGAACAUCAGUCAGGGUGAUCACCAUGCUUUUGCAGCUCUGUCUCCAAUGCUGUACACCCUCUACGUUUCUCAAAUUACUGAGGGCAUCAAUAGUAAGGUUCAAAACUCACAAGUUUGCCGAUGAUCUAGCGCUGUAUAUGUCGCCCUUGUGUUUCCAAAAGCAUUCAAAUCAUCGAGGAAUCUACUAGAAUCAUAGACGCUAAUUUGAGGAGACUUGGCCUGUCCUUGGCACCCCAUAAAACUGAACUUGUUCACGUCUACAAACGAUGUAAUCCUCCCAGGGACAGCUCAAUGUUGAUAGAAAAUUUGUAAUAUCAAAUGUCGCACUUACCUUCUGUUCGGUCGCAUAUAUAUAACCCUCAAUUGUUAUUUUUUAGACAACUGUGGAAAACUGUUCGUUUCCAAAUUUUCCUCUUAUGUUAUAAAAUAAUUAGUAAUUUUAAUCCCUUGCCAGGCGACUUAAAGCACGUACAAGUCGUCACAGCAUAAAAUUCUGCUUCUUGAGAAAACCGUGGCAACUCUUUCCCACGGUUUUAUCUAUUGUCUACAAUAUUUCCCAAAAUUCUUAAGAGCUCUAAAAGUUUUCACUAAUGUCCUCUUCCCAAGAAUUUAUGAGGACCCCCUUUUUUUUUGCUACUCCGCGUCACAGCGAUGGGCCCAACAUAGCCAUCUGCGACGCGGCAGAUUUACACCCUGCAAUAAUUUUUCCUUCAACCAGGAAAUUUUUCUUUUCCCCUCUUCCUACCAGGGAACAAUUACUUACACCCACUCUUCAUUUUUGUAUUUUGAAGAAUUUGUAACAAGUUAGUACACCAAAAGAGUUCGAAGUGAUAAUCUCGAGCUACAACCCUCUGUUGUAAUCCAAAAAUCUGAGAAAACAUCUAUCGUGCGAGAAUUAUUGCAAUAAGUUUUUUAAUAUUGUGUGUUACGUGCGAACUAAUUUAUUAAUCUUGUAAUUGUCUGUUCUUAUAAAUUUUUAAACAACCAUUUCUUAAAAUAUAAUCUAAGCUUUUUGGUAAAUCGUGGCUAAUUAUUAAAAACCUACUAUCCUUCUGCUUUCGGGUCACGCGUCGUUGGCAGCAGUACGGAGACAAAACUAACCUACAAACAAUUGUAUACUUGGGCCUUACAACCCAAGGAAGGGUCGACAUUAAACUCAACUCGGCUAUCGCGUUAGUUACCCCGUACAGUACAGAUGUUUCUAACUGUAGAUGAUGUCAUCUCGGUGAUUCAGGCAUAUAAUAAUCUAAUAUAUUUAUAAAAUUGAUAGGUAAAUAAACAAAAGUAAUUAAUUUGUUUGAAAUGAUGAAAAUAAUUCAAUACUGAAACAUUCAGAUUUGUGAUACGUCCUGAAACCAUUUGCAAAAUUAUAUGUUCCUAAUUUUACGUGGAAAGGCGAUUUAAAAUUCACACGAAAAGCCAGAAUUCGACUUCUUUUCAAAGUACAUAUAAGCAAAAUUUUAUAAUUUCAUUCUCAGGUCUUUUUCCGGUUCAAUCUGAAAUCAAUUGAGUUACAUCCCUACCUCAUCAGAAAUGGUUCAUAACCCCGUGUAAUGGCUGAGAUCAUAUCAGGAAGAUAAGAAUUUGAUCCGUUUUAGUCAGGUGACCUGAUAUCAAAUUAAGGCCAUGCUGAUCAAAUCCAAACCUGAUCAUAAUUCUGUAGUGAAGUGGUGAACUAGGAUAAGUGCAGAAAUCCGAAUUUUUCAGGAGAGCUGAAAAACGAUUUGCAGCAUUAUAAGGAGGAUUUUCACGCAUCCAAUGAUGGAUAUUUAUUUAUUGCUCCAUUAUUUGUUAACAACGAUGGCACCAAGACUUUUUACUAGAUUUGACGCCUAAGUCACGCACUUAUCCUCACUGUCAUGAUUUCCAACAAAAGUUAAGUCAACUUAUCUUCCUCGGCAAUGAAAAUGGAAAGAGAUAUGUUGACUUAUCCUCUAGUUGUUGUCAGGGCAAUAAUCAGUUACUAAAUUCCGUCGAAUUGUGUACGAAAAAUUUUAUUUAUGUAUUUAUGAUACUCCAAUUUCAAUGGUAUUACACUGAUCAUAUCUAUCCCUUUUUAAUCAUUGUAUUCACUUGAUGAGAUAAUUCCUGGAUCCGUUAGGGGGUUAUCCUCGGUAUCAACAAUAAGAUCCCUGUAAAAACACUGCUCCAGGUCAAACGUCGUGACAAUUAUUCUACCGUCACUGUUUUGGGUGAUUUGCUUGUCAGUGACUUUCAUGUUGUAUGGUGCAUUGGCCAUAUUUAAAUGAGAUUCCAGUUGUUCCUUGGCAUAAGUCUUCUCUAACUCGGUAGUAGCUGAUUUCAGUUGAAUCUGCAAUUGAUUGCAGGUUCUGGACGUGUCAGUUUUCGGUUCCUUGAAUGAUAAGCCAAGCGCCUUAAUCUGUUGUUGAUAUGACCAUCUGGAAACGGUUUGAUCAGGAUAUGCUUCCUCAUACAGUUUAAACAUCUGAGUCCGGGUCAAGUGAGAAGGUAGAAAUUUCUUGGAGGUUUUGCUGCGAGAAUAGUGCGACUCACAAGCCGGGAAACUCAGUAUGUGAUUUCUAACUACUGUCCCGUAAUCCUCAAACAAUUAUUGCUGAUUUGUUUGAAUAAAUUGUCAAGUGCUGGAUUUGAACCAGGUAUGUUUCGAGCGCCUUAUUUUCAGAGGCAAGCCCCCGCAACGAACUACGCCAAGGAUCGCUUUAAGUUGAUUUCAAACAAUGAAGCAAGUCGUAUAAAUAUACUAAGAUAAGUCAACUUAUCCUUUCCCAGCCACUCAACCUCCGAGGAUAUGUCAACUUAUCUUCAUUUGCGCUGUCAUAAUUUCACUUAUCCUCCUCAUUUUUGUUCACUACUGGCACCAACAAUUAAUUUUCAGCGAAAUACUUUUGUGAGGACCUCCGGAACAAUGUUAUGUUUCAAUUUAAACAAAGAACCCAUUU
Diachasmimorpha longicaudata is the source of this 5548-nucleotide long non-coding RNA. RefSeq lists it as uncharacterized. The record is from RefSeq and is a predicted model, not a curated record. The transcript is spliced from 2 exons. NCBI's taxonomy places the organism in Eukaryota, Metazoa, Arthropoda, Insecta, Hymenoptera, Braconidae.